This 251-nucleotide ribosomal RNA is filed under the name Escherichia coli. Its description in RNAcentral is "partial 16S ribosomal RNA". It matches the Rfam family "Bacterial small subunit ribosomal RNA", at positions 1 to 248 of the family's 1533-position model. Lineage: Bacteria; Pseudomonadati; Pseudomonadota; Gammaproteobacteria; Enterobacterales; Enterobacteriaceae. RNAcentral also lists the same sequence under 1 other name. The record is from RNAcentral.
AAAUUGAAGAGUUUGAUCAUGGCUCAGAUUGAACGCUGGCGGCAGGCCUAACACAUGCAAGUCGAACGGUAACAGGAAGCAGCUUGCUGCUUCGCUGACGAGUGGCGGACGGGUGAGUAAUGUCUGGGAAACUGCCUGAUGGAGGGGGAUAACUACUGGAAACGGUAGCUAAUACCGCAUAACGUCGCAAGACCAAAGAGGGGGACCUUCGGGCCUCUUGCCAUCGGAUGUGCCCAGAUGGGAUUAGCUUG